Molecule: long non-coding RNA, 98 nt
Organism: Haliotis rubra (blacklip abalone)
Lineage: Eukaryota; Metazoa; Mollusca; Gastropoda; Lepetellida; Haliotidae
Exons: 3
Source: RefSeq, a predicted model, not a curated record
AUUACUCAUUUCUUGUCUUUAAUCUUAUUUUCCCAUUAUUACAUAAAGUGGGGGGCUUUUGGUCAUUUUUCGAGGGGCUUUUUGUCAUGACGUGUGUU